Saccostrea cuccullata (small rock oyster) is the source of this 364-nucleotide long non-coding RNA. RefSeq lists it as uncharacterized. Lineage: Eukaryota; Metazoa; Mollusca; Bivalvia; Ostreida; Ostreidae. The transcript is spliced from 5 exons. The record is from RefSeq and is a predicted model, not a curated record.
CUGGGAUAUUUAUAAACUGCUCUAGCAAAGCAUUAACAGAGAUACCUGCCAACUUCCCAAAAGACACUUGUCAACUAGACCUAUCCAACAACAGAAUAACCAGUAUACAGGUGAAUGCAUUUAACGGUCUGUCAAGACUGUCGACUCUGUACCUAUCCAACAACAGAAUAACCAGUAUACAGGUGAAUGCAUUUAAUGGUCUGUCAGGAUUAUUGAGUGUAUUACUAUCCAACAACAGAAUAACCGGUAUACAGGAGAAUGCAUUUAAUGGUCUUUCAAGAGUAUGGUAUCUAAGUCUAUCCAACAACAGAAUAACCAGCAUACAGGAGAAUGCAUUUAUUGGUCUGUCAAAACUAUCGGAACU